GAAUUCGUGUAGGCUAGAGAACUGCCGGUGAAUUUGCAUAAUAUCUUGAAUCUUGUAGCCUAUGGAGAAACUGUAGCCUACCCAGUGUUUCUUUUACUGUCUGUGUGUAGCCUAGGAGUAGUUUAGUAGUAGCCUAGUUUUAAAAUGGAUUUCAGAAUUCGUCCCCCUAAGCCCGAUGACUUCAAAGAUGUUUUCCGCAUGGUCACGGAGCUGUCUCUUCUUGAAAAGUCACCUGAUUUGCAGAUAUCCAGGGAAGAGUUGAAGCAGGACCUUUUCUGUAAAACUCCUUUCCUUCAGUGCCUCAUUGCAGAAGUACCAGCACAUUGUAAGACUUGGGAAGGCCAUACAACUGUUGCAUAUACUCUUUUUACAAAUGCCUACUGCACUUGGAAUGGGAGGGCAGUGUAUUUGGGAGAUUUCUAUGUCAUGCCUGAAUGCAGAGGAAAAGGAGUUGGGAGAGCACUUUUGAGUACAGUGGCAAAGGUGGGAAAGGAACAACACUGUGCAAUUAUGUUGACAGAGAUGAGAGGCAACACACCGCUCAUAGACUUUUAUAUUGCUAAAGGUGGGGAGGACCUCACAGUUACAGAAAGACGCCACUUUCUGCGCUUUGACGGAGAUGCCUUGGACAAACUUGCACAGGAAGCACCACAAUGUACUUGAAAAAAUCUAUUGCAAAAAGUUUUUUUUUUAAUGAAAGACAAAGUACUUGCAUAAUGUUUAUGAACAUUUUUACUUAGCACAUGUGAUAAACAAAUUAGCCAGUGGAUGGUGCUACCUAUGACGCGCAAACAAGCAUUUGCUUUGCAUAUAGGACAGGAACAGCUUUCAUACCGUGUGUUAAUAGGGUGUAGCUUCAGGUAGGACCAGGGUCUACUACAUCCAGGAUUGACUGGACUGCUGAUUUAUUGUUAUUGAUUUAUACAAUAUUAUUUUCCCUUCACCCUCUAUAUAAAUCUGCCACCCCUCAACAUCCCACCAUUUUCUCCGUCUUUGCCUAUUUUUGUCAGCUGGUCAGUCACAGUGAUGACGCCAUCACAAGACAAGAAUACAUUUUGAGUAAUUCAUCAACUUCCAUCCCACUCUGCCAAUGUUUAUCCAGCCACAUUUUUACCAUAUUUGGGGGGCCGCACUCCUGUAUUGCUGCAUCAUGUGAGAGUGACUUAAUGUCCUCCAGGACAGACCGCAAAUACCCAUGACUCUGGGCAUAAGGUCAUAACAAUAUGACAUGCUGGGGUAAAUGCACCAUGAAAACAGGAAACAUUACACUUCACAUGAUCUUUCAUGUUGAAACUCCAAUAUAUGCAACAAUAUUUAAAAGGGGUUAUGCAACGUUGGGGGGGGGUAAUUGUUAUUGUAAUUCAAGAGUCUGUAGAUAUACCGUCGCUAUGAUAAACAGGAUAUGAUUUCUGAGCCUAUUGAAUAAGAUGAAAUAUCAUCAGGCCUAUCUAAUGUAAAUGGUGUCACACAUUGUGUCUUACUGGCACAUUGUUUCACUUUUCCUGGUCAUUAAAUUUUUUACAGCAAGUUCUUUUCCCGACAUCCUCACACUGAGAUGUCCGAUUGCUGUUAACCGUAGGUUAAAUGCAUGCUUUGCACCCACUUCAAAUGAAUUCAUUGACCCACCUCCACUCUACCUCUCCGAAUAAGACGUCACGGCAACACGAGGCAGAGUGCAGAACAGGCGACUAUGUUUCAGCGACUGGGUCGUGCCGAUAGACUAUGCAAAGUAGUACGUAGUAAAAGUCAGGCAACGUGAAUACUUUACACAUUAACUGUUCCGACGUAGUCUGCAUAUCUUUCAGAUAGGCUACACAAUAAAUACUGUGUCGUUCCAUGGUAUAGCUGUUUUAACUAGAUUUUAGACAGAACAACGGAAUCGUGAGCCCAGGAUCCCAUCCGAUCAUUUACCUGGGAUCCUGUGGGUUCAGUUCCCAGCCUCUCAGCAGCCAUGUCUCUGGGGCGACCCCUGCAACUCAUGCGCUCCCUGAGGAAAUCGCCCGCCAUUUUCCAUCACCGCUUCCGCCACGAUCGCACCCAGUCACUAUCACACGGCGACCCCCUCUUCAAGGUGCACUAUCUGGGCACUGAGAAGAUCUUCUCCCUGGACCUGGAGCAGGCCGAGGCCGCCAUCUCCCAUGUGCUGGAGCGAUCUCCGGCUUCGGAGAAGCUGGGCAAGGAGCACGCCUUGGUCGUGCGGCCUCGUUACGUAGAGGUGAAGGAGAUCGCCACAGGGCGGCAGCUCACCAAGACCUACCUCCGGGACAUCGCUUACUGUGCGGCAGACGCAAAGAGGCCAAAUGUGUUCCUCUACAUAUGCAAGCAGCAGGGUCAGCAGCUCCAGUGCCGUGUGUUUUGGUGCAGCCGUCCAGAGAAGGUCAAGGACAUGACAAACUGUUUGGCCCGUUCUUUUCAGAGAGCACUGACCGACUGGCAGGAGACUGGCAGUAGUCGCACACAAGGAGAAGACAAGGCGAAAGAGGGGAGGCCACUUUUAAACAAUGGCAAGGCUAAGAGCUGCACAAUGCCACCAGAUCUCAGGAAAGGUCGCUCCGCAAGAAGGACUUUAAGCUCUCGCAGUCCGCUGAGAGAGAUGAUGAGGAGGACAAGUAUCAGUGACUGAUGGGGGCUUCAAAAGGCCUCCCAUACACCCAUAACAAAACCAAACAGGAGGCCCACUCCUUAGUGCACAGACUUGCCACUCUCUGGCUGUUGUGUGUAUCUAGUGGCACCUGUUCUAAAUAUGGAUUGGAUGACUAAAGAUCUGACUAAAGAUUAAAGAGUUUUUGUUCAGUCAGUGGGUCUUUCCAAUGAGGUCACUGCAUUCAGAUAUCAGGACUAAAUUCAAACUUGUUUUGAUCUGGAAAUGUGUUCACUCUCAAGAUCUUCAUGCAUGUUCUGAGUUCGCUGUCCAGAUGGUGCUAGUUGGUUGGUUAACAGAACACAGUCUAUUCUACAAUGCUAUGUAUUCUCGCCUGUUGAAAGAAUGUUUUGAGAAGUAACAUGAGAAGUAUGGCAUGUCAUUGUCUUAAAACUUUAUAAAAAUCUAGUUACAUGUCUUAUACCACUCAUUUGUACAGAUGUGACAGCACUGAAAAGUUUGGAGGAGCACUAGUUUUGAUAUGCAACAUUGUGUAUGCAUUUGUAUGGUCUCAUCACUUGCCUCUUUUACCUCAAAAGGGAAAGAAAUUAUUUUCUCAAGGCCAAAGAAAAUGGUCAAUUCUGGUCUACAGAAACAUAUGUGUGUUACAUUUUUCUUUUCAUUGCCAUGCAAGUUGUCAGAAUGUUCUUUGGAGAAAUGUCAGCGCUUAAAAGUUAAUAAUGUUUUCAGAACAUGUUGCCAUUUUUACAAAGCUUUGUUUUAUGCAUUUUACAAUUCUGUUUCAUAUUUUCUGUGUCUCUAUAAACAAAGUUAAAUAAGUGGUUACAUUGUGAGAAGCUCCUUUUUAUUGAAUAUUAGGACGACCAGCUUACAAUUCAUCACUAUGCAAACCUACCAACCAGAAGUGGCACAGCCAUGGAUGACAUGAAUAUAAAAGU
Alosa sapidissima (American shad) is the source of this 3540-nucleotide RNA transcript. RefSeq lists it as uncharacterized. Lineage: Eukaryota; Metazoa; Chordata; Actinopteri; Clupeiformes; Clupeidae. The record is from RefSeq and is a predicted model, not a curated record. The transcript has 9 exons.